This is a non-coding RNA of Amborella trichopoda, 3827 nucleotides long. The record is from RefSeq and is a predicted model, not a curated record. NCBI's taxonomy places the organism in Eukaryota, Viridiplantae, Streptophyta, Magnoliopsida, Amborellales, Amborellaceae.
CUAAAAGAGAGUGAGCCGAACGCUCUUAUUCGUUCUUGAAAUUGAAGGGCUGAGGUUUCGUGUGGCAGCGACAACUGAUAAUUGUGCGCACUCUCUCUUUAGCCUGUGCACGACAUCUCUUCUUGUACCUAAACUCUCGAUUCGGUGAAACCAUCUCUCUCUACCUAAACUCUGGCAUCCCUAUCUCUCUCCCCCGUGAGCUUCUUCCCACCCUCUCCAAAUCCCGUGAGCCUCCUCCCAUUGUCUCUCUCUCCGGUGAGCCUCCUCGCCUCUCUCUCUAUUGCGAGCCUCAUCCAUUUCUCUCCCCCCCACCCUUCGAGAACAACAAUCAGCCUCCUCGCUCAGCAACCCUAAAUCUCCAAAUUCAGCAACCCUAAAUCCCCAAAAUCAGCAACCCCAGUUUUGUGGACUCUGGAAUCUCUCUCACUGGAAGCCUCCUCCAGUUUCAGCAACUCUAAAUAAAAAAUAGUGGUUUCGAUCAACUAUUCACAGCAAGCACUUGUUUAGAAAAGAUGAAGAUGUACCAGAGAAAUUACCUACGACUUGUGUGAGAGCAUUUGAUGUGCAUGUGAACCUAUAUGAAGAAAGGGAGGUCAAAGGGUUUGUUUGUCUGUUAAAAAGCUUCCCUUGCUUAGAAGUUCUUCACAUUAAGUCUCGAUGUGACCAUUUCGGUAUCGGUAGCGAAACUGAUAAAGGUUCCUGGAAAAUGCUGUGCCAUUCUGAGUCUUGGUUGGUUCGCAUCAAGAGAGUAGAGAUCAACAGAAUUACAGGAACUGAGCAAUAAAUAGAAAUGAUUAGGUUCUUUCUAGCAAACACCAAAACAUGGAGAAGCUUAUUGUCAAGAUAGAAAAUGGAUUGGCUUUUUUCAUGAUAGUAAAUGGAUUGUAAAGCCAAGAUGGGUUCGAUUUAGUGAAGCAGUUGAACAUUUUCCCUAUAGCGUCUAAUCAUGCCAAGGUGCAAAUCAUUUAGACUCGCAAAAAAGUUCAGAUAUUUUCAGAGAACUUGGAGGUGUCCCUAGUUUGGGUCCCAUCUGUUUCAUUUUUCUGCCUCUUGUUAAAAUUGUUAAAGAGUAUUUUCUGAAAAGUACAUUAGUUUUUAUGUUAUUUUAUCAUGAGUGAUGUAAUAAGGUUGCACUUGUAAGUUUGCGUAGUAGGAAUUUCUAAAACUACUAGGUGGUUACCCGUUAUUGUUGCAAGUGAGUAGUUAUUGUAGGAAAUAUGCUUUUAAAAACCUCUAUUUAAAGAGAAGUGUAUUGUGGGAAAAAUUGGAUCACAUGUGUUAAGGUUAAAUAGAAGUGUAUUGUGGGAAAAAUUGGGUCACAUGUGUUAAGGUUAAUCUUGGGUGUCAAGAUUGUACUGCCUUUGUGUACCCCAUUUUUCAUCUUUGAAUGAAAGAUUUCUUCCACCUCAUUUUGGUUCUUCUUCUUUUUAUUUGGUUGUGACUCUUGGUCUAGUGUGAUAUUGUUACACUAGUUGAGAAGCGGAUUGUUCCGGUGUUGUGGCAUCCGUCUUUAUCUACACUUACAUAAUGUGAAUCUAAUUCUCUAUGUUUCAGAGGAUAAGCAUUUUGAAAAUGAUGAGUAAUGAAACUUCCUUGCAACCAAUUGUUUCUUCUUUCUAGUGAAUAAUUUAACUGGUAUUAAGUUAAAGAGAUAAUCUGUCCACAUUUUUUUCCAUGGGGUCCUCCUUCCAUAGUCUCUCUUAAUAUUCAUGGAACAAAUUUCCAAGGGUAGAAUUUCCUCAACAUGAUAACGAGCACGCUAGGAUGAUAGAAAAGCACCAAUACAGCAUUUCUGUGCACAUUUUUGGAUAAUCAAGAUUGCAUCAAACAGACAAUUGUGUUCUUCCUUGAAAGCUACCAUGAGCCUAAAUUUUGAAUUAUAGCAGUCACAAGUUUUUACCUGUGACUGCUAUAUGAAGAUAAACACCCUUUCUUGAAAUAAUUCAAAAUGGUUUUUGCACUUUCUGAGUGCAAAAUAACCAUUUCCAGUUUAUCUUUUCCAAAAAUUUUGUUUUAUGUCCUUCAUCAAGGACGAGAGGAUGUGCUUGUCAGGCUUGGGGCCAAAAAGCAGUUUCCUUUAUUUUUCUUUCCUUUUUUUUUCGCACCCCUCAAAGUUUUCCAUGGAUUUCUUCAUUCGCGUUAAGAGAAUGUAUCUCACAAGUUUGGAACGAAGCAGACUCCUCUAAAGCCUCCAAAAAUGGGGCAGGCGAACAAAUCGCGCCAUCCCUCAGUAAAACUUAGAUACCUUGAAAUACCUUCAAAUCCUAAUGCUUAGCAGCAUACAGAAAAGCGAUUUUCCUCUCAAUAUAGGGGUCACGGAAAGCCAAUGACAUGGAACUUUUGGUGAAUUUCAUGGGGCCUAGGACCAAUAUGCAUUCCUUGUAAAUUGUGUGAGUUAAUAAUUUUAUCUUUUCUCCUUAAAUUUGUACUUAAUUUCAGGUGCGUGUAGCAAAGAUGGAGUAUUGAGUAUAACAGAGACAAUAUCUGUUGUGGACUCCAGAUCUUCAGUUCCCAAGCUUGAUUCUUUUUCAACUUCAAAUUCAGAUCUCUCUUCGAUCUUAUUCCCAAUUUGCCACAAUUUGGAAGGCUAUAACAAUUUAAUAAGUGUCAUAGGUAUUCAAUGUGUUGAACUAAAUUGUUAUAGGUAUUCAAUCGUAUUGAAAGUUGGCGAACCACGAAUAUCAUAGGAAAGGCACUUGAUUUACCUCUAGAUUUAUAAUUUGUCCAUUUAUAAGUGGCUAUUGUAUGUGUGGCUUGUUUGAGACUUUUAAGUGGUUAAAGGAGGUGUACUUACAAAUAUUCACCUUGAGGUAUUCUUGGCUUCAGAAGCCAAUAAUGCAAGCUUACUGUCAGAGGGGUUGAGAGACCCAAAGGUCAACAGUAGUAAACUUCCUGCACUGUUGCUAUGAUGCAUUAAGUUCAAGAAUUUAGCUGAUGAUACACAUGUUAAGGAUCGAUGAAGUCUAUUUAAAAGUCUUUUGGUUGAGAUAAUUUAAAACUGCCUUGCUAAUCAUCAUAUAUUACAGCCUGAACUGAUCAAUCAUGGGCAGGAACAUAGAUAUCAAACAUAAGGUUCUUUCUAUUUUUUUGAAUGUGAUGUGACUUUUAUGUACAAAAGAUAUUUUAUGUACAAAGAUAAAUUGUUUAUUUUUUAUAGAUAAUCCCAUUUUACUUUGUGCAUUUAGUUUACAUUUUGCAUUACUAACCUGUGGUUCCUUCCUGGUCGUAUCGACGGUGCAAUAUGCCCCAUGGGACAGUGAAAAAGAUGAAGGAUACUGGAAAAUGCUUUGCCGUUCUGUCGGUUGGUUGGGUUGCCUCAAAAGAAUAGAGAUUGAUAACAUUAGAGGAACUGAAAAUGAACUGGAAAUGAUUUGGUUCUUUCUAGCAGAACACCACAUCACUAGAGAAGUUUAAUAUCGAGAUAGGAAACUUUGGUGAUGAGACAUAAAAAGAAUUGGAGAUCCAGAUAGGGUUUGAGAUAGCCAAGCGAUUGAACUUGUUUCCUAGAGCCUCUAAUCGUGCAAGAGAGAGAGGGGGCAGAGCCUCAUGUACGUAAGAUGUAAGGUUUCCUCUUGAUGGUGCCUCCCCAAGACUCCUGCAGAGUGAGAUGUUGGAAUCUUAUCGAGAAACUCCUAGAGACUCCUACAGAAUGAGAUGUUGGUUUCUUGUAGAGAAUCAGUGGUCUAGCUAUGGAAUAGAGAUGAGAUAUCGGUAGUGGUGCUGUUUGGGAGACGACUUGGGUUUUUGUCAAGGUUUAUAGAGAUAACUCUAUGAUCCAAAAUCUUUGAUGUAACUUUUAUUGAUAUAGUGGAUUUCAGUUUGUCGUU